RNAcentral lists this ribosomal RNA (253 nucleotides) under uncultured bacterium. RNAcentral's name for it is "partial 16S ribosomal RNA". It matches the Rfam family "Bacterial small subunit ribosomal RNA", at positions 524 to 776 of the family's 1533-position model. The record is from RNAcentral.
UACAGAGGGUGCGAGCGUUAAUCGGAAUUACUGGGCGUAAAGCGCACGUAGUCGGCUUUGCAAGCCGGUUGUGAAAUCCCCGGGCUCAACCUGGGAACUGCAUCCGGGACUGCAUUGCUAGAGUAUGGGAGAGGGAAGCGGAAUUUCUGGUGUAGCAGUGAAAUGCGUAGAUAUCAGGAGGAACACCAGCGGCGAAGGCGCCGCUCUGGGCCGUAACUGACGCUGAGGAGCGAAAGCAUGGGUAGCAAACAGG